This 1475-nucleotide ribosomal RNA is filed under the name Klebsiella sp. RNAcentral's name for it is "partial 16S ribosomal RNA". It matches the Rfam family "Bacterial small subunit ribosomal RNA". Lineage: Bacteria; Pseudomonadati; Pseudomonadota; Gammaproteobacteria; Enterobacterales; Enterobacteriaceae. The record is from RNAcentral.
CAGCGUAGAUAGUCAUACACAAGAUAACUCGAGCGGUGCACAGAGAGCUUGCUCUCGGGUGACGAGCGGCGGACGGGUGAGUAAUGUCUGGGAAACUGCCUGAUGGAGGGGGAUAACUACUGGAAACGGUAGCUAAUACCGCAUAACGUCGCAAGACCAAAGUGGGGGACCUUCGGGCCUCAUGCCAUCAGAUGUGCCCAGAUGGGAUUAGCUAGUAGGUGGGGUAAUGGCUCACCUAGGCGACGAUCCCUAGCUGGUCUGAGAGGAUGACCAGCCACACUGGAACUGAGACACGGUCCAGACUCCUACGGGAGGCAGCAGUGGGGAAUAUUGCACAAUGGGCGCAAGCCUGAUGCAGCCAUGCCGCGUGUGUGAAGAAGGCCUUCGGGUUGUAAAGCACUUUCAGCGGGGAGGAAGGCGAUAAGGUUAAUAACCUUGUCGAUUGACGUUACCCGCAGAAGAAGCACCGGCUAACUCCGUGCCAGCAGCCGCGGUAAUACGGAGGGUGCAAGCGUAAUCGGAUUACUCUGGGGCGAAAGCGCACGCAGGCGGCUGCAGCGGUGGGAUGUGGAAUCCCCGGGUCACCUGGGACUGCUUCAAUGGAGUAAUCUGAAGGGUAGAAUCAGGACGUGAUGGAAGUUGAGAUACGUGCGAGCGCCAGGUGUAGCGCGGCAAUGCGUAGGGACUGGACAAGAAAACGAUCCGGACAGCAUGAGGGCUAGUGUCGAUCCUAUCACGCGGAGCGCCGCAGUAAUCAGGAGCAAACAGGAUUAGAGGACGCCUGUUAAACGGAUUUGGGAGGGUUGUUUUGAAGGUCGUGGCCUUGAGGCGUGGCUCCGGGAGCUAACGCGUUAAAUCGACCGUGGGGGGAGUACGGCCGCAAGGUUAAAACUCAAAAUGAAUUGACGGGGGCCCGCACAAAGCGGUGGAGCAUGUGGUUUAAUUCGAUGCAACGCGAAGAACCUUACCUGGUCUUGACAUCCACAGAACUUGCCAGAGAUGGCUUGGUGCCUUCGGGAACUGUGAGACAGGUGCUGCAUGGCUGUCGUCAGCUCGUGUUGUGAAAUGUUGGGUUAAGUCCCGCAACGAGCGCAACCCUUAUCCUUUGUUGCCAGCGGUUCGGCCGGGAACUCAAAGGAGACUGCCAGUGAUAAACUGGAGGAAGGUGGGGAUGACGUCAAGUCAUCAUGGCCCUUACGACCAGGGCUACACACGUGCUACAAUGGCAUAUACAAAGAGAAGCGACCUCGCGAGAGCAAGCGGUCCUCAUAAAGUAUGUCGUAGUCGGGAUUGGAGUCUGCAACUCGACUCCAUGAAGUCGGAAUCGUUAGUAAUCGUUGAUCAGAAUGCUACGAGGAAUUCGUUCCCGGGCCUUGGCGCACCGCCCCGUCGCGGCACGGGAGUGGGUUGCAGAAGAAGUGGGUAGCUUAACCUUGCGGGGAGGGCGCUUACCACUUUGGUUUGGGAAGGGGGGC